Molecule: ribosomal RNA, 460 nt
Filed under: uncultured bacterium
Lineage: Bacteria
Description: partial 16S ribosomal RNA
Rfam family: Bacterial small subunit ribosomal RNA
Source: RNAcentral
CCUACGGGAGGCUGCAGUGAGGAAUAUUGGUCAAUGGGCGGGAGCCUGAACCAGCCAAGUCGCGUGAGGGAAGACGGUCCUAUGGAUUGUAAACCUCUUUAGGCGGGGAGCAAUGCCGGGCACGUGUGCCCGGAGGGAGAGUACCCGCAGAAUAAGCAUCGGCUAACUCCGUGCCAGCAGCCGCGGUAAUACGGAGGAUGCGAGCGUUAUCCGGAUUGAUUGGGUUUAAAGGGUGCGUAGGCGGAUUUUUAAGUCAGCGGUAAAAUGUCCGGGCUCAACCCGGGCCGGCCGUUGAAACUGGGGAUCUUGAGUGGGCGAGAAGUAUGCGGAAUGCGUGGUGUAGCGGUGAAAUGCAUAGAUAUCACGCAGAACUCCGAUUGCGAAGGCAGCAUACCGACGCCCGACUGACGCUGAGGCACGAAAGCGUGGGGAUCGAACAGGAUUAGAUACCCCUGUAGUC